This 2459-nucleotide ribosomal RNA is filed under the name Salmonella enterica subsp. enterica. Its description in RNAcentral is "partial 23S ribosomal RNA". It matches the Rfam family "Bacterial large subunit ribosomal RNA", at positions 1 to 2472 of the family's 2925-position model. The record is from RNAcentral. Lineage: Bacteria; Pseudomonadati; Pseudomonadota; Gammaproteobacteria; Enterobacterales; Enterobacteriaceae.
GGGUUGUGAGGUUAAGCGACUAAGCGUACACGGUGGAUGCCCUGGCAGUCAGAGGCGAUGAAGGGCGUGCUAAUCUGCGAUAAGCGCCGGUAAGGUGAUAUGAACCGUUAUAACCGGCGAUACCCGAAUGGGGAAACCCAGUGUGACUCGUCACACUAUCAUUAACUGAAUCCAUAGGUUAAUGAGGCGAACCGGGGGAACUGAAACAUCUAAGUACCCCGAGGAAAAGAAAUCAACCGAGAUUCCCCCAGUAGCGGCGAGCGAACGGGGAGGAGCCCAGAGCCUGAAUCAGCAUGUGUGUUAGUGGAAGCGUCUGGAAAGGCGCGCGAUACAGGGUGACAGCCCCGUACACAAAAGCGCAUGUGCUGUGAGCUCGAUGAGUAGGGCGGGACACGUGGUAUCCUGUCUGAAUAUGGGGGGACCAUCCUCCAAGGCUAAAUACUCCUGACUGACCGAUAGUGAACCAGUACCGUGAGGGAAAGGCGAAAAGAACCCCGGCGAGGGGAGUGAAAAAGAACCUGAAACCGUGUACGUACAAGCAGUGGGAGCACAGGUUUACCUGUGUGACUGCGUACCUUUUGUAUAAUGGGUCAGCGACUUAUAUUCUGUAGCAAGGUUAACCGUAUAGGGGAGCCGUAGGGAAACCGAGUCUUAACCGGGCGUUAAGUUGCAGGGUAUAGACCCGAAACCCGGUGAUCUAGCCAUGGGCAGGUUGAAGGUUGGGUAACACUAACUGGAGGACCGAACCGACUAAUGUUGAAAAAUUAGCGGAUGACCUGUGGCUGGGGGUGAAAGGCCAAUCAAACCGGGAGAUAGCUGGUUCUCCCCGAAAGCUAUUUAGGUAGCGCCUCGUGAAUUCAUCUCCGGGGGUAGAGCACUGUUUCGGCUAGGGGGCCAUCCCGGCUUACCAACCCGAUGCAAACUGCGAAUACCGGAGAAUGUUAUCACGGGAGACACACGGCGGGUGCUAACGUCCGUCGUGAAGAGGGAAACAACCCAGACCGCCAGCUAAGGUCCCAAAGUCAUGGUUAAGUGGGAAACGAUGUGGGAAGGCCCAGACAGCCAGGAUGUUGGCUUAGAAGCAGCCAUCAUUUAAAGAAAGCGUAAUAGCUCACUGGUCGAGUCGGCCUGCGCGGAAGAUGUAACGGGGCUAAACCAUGCACCGAAGCUGCGGCAGCGACGCUGAUGCGUUGUUGGGUAGGGGAGCGUUCUGUAAGCCUGUGAAGGUGGCCUGUGAGGGUUGCUGGAGGUAUCAGAAGUGCGAAUGCUGACAUAAGUAACGAUAAAGCGGGUGAAAAGCCCGCUCGCCGGAAGACCAAGGGUUCCUGUCCAACGUUAAUCGGGGCAGGGUGAGUCGACCCCUAAGGCGAGGCCGAAAGGCGUAGUCGAUGGGAAACGGGUUAAUAUUCCCGUACUUGGUGUUACUGCGAAGGGGGGACGGAGAAGGCUAUGUUGGCCGGGCGACGGUUGUCCCGGUUUAAGCGUGUAGGUGUGUGUUCCAGGUAAAUCCGGUUCACUUUAACACUGAGGCGUGAUGACGAGGCACUACGGUGCUGAAGCAACAAAUGCCCUGCUUCCAGGAAAAGCCUCUAAGCAUCAGGUAACAUCAAAUCGUACCCCAAACCGACACAGGUGGUCAGGUAGAGAAUACCAAGGCGCUUGAGAGAACUCGGGUGAAGGAACUAGGCAAAAUGGUGCCGUAACUUCGGGAGAAGGCACGCUGACACGUAGGUGAAGUGAUUUACUCAUGGAGCUGAAGUCAGUCGAAGAUACCAGCUGGCUGCAACUGUUUAUUAAAAACACAGCACUGUGCAAACACGAAAGUGGACGUAUACGGUGUGACGCCUGCCCGGUGCCGGAAGGUUAAUUGAUGGGGUCAGCGCAAGCGAAGCUCCUGAUCGAAGCCCCGGUAAACGGCGGCCGUAACUAUAACGGUCCUAAGGUAGCGAAAUUCCUUGUCGGGUAAGUUCCGACCUGCACGAAUGGCGUAAUGAUGGCCAGGCUGUCUCCACCCGAGACUCAGUGAAAUUGAACUCGCUGUGAAGAUGCAGUGUACCCGCGGCAAGACGGAAAGACCCCGUGAACCUUUACUAUAGCUUGACACUGAACAUUGAGCCUUGAUGUGUAGGAUAGGUGGGAGGCUUUGAAGCGUGGACGCCAGUCUGCAUGGAGCCGGCCUUGAAAUACCACCCUUUAAUGUUUGAUGUUCUAACGUGGACCCGUGAUCCGGGUUGCGGACAGUGUCUGGUGGGUAGUUUGACUGGGGCGGUCUCCUCCUAAAGAGUAACGGAGGAGCACGAAGGUUGGCUAAUCCUGGUCGGACAUCAGGAGGUUAGUGCAAUGGCAUAAGCCAGCUUGACUGCGAGCGUGACGGCGCGAGCAGGUGCGAAAGCAGGUCAUAGUGAUCCGGUGGUUCUGAAUGGAAGGGCCAUCGCUCAACGGAUAAAAGGUACUCCGGG